CCUACGGGCGGCAGCAGUGGGGAAUAUUGGACAAUGGGCGAAAGCCUGAUCCAGCCAUGCCGCGUGUGUGAAGAAGGCCUUCGGGUUGUAAAGCACUUUCAGUGGGGAAGAAAGCCUUGGGGCUAAUACCCUCGAGGAAGGACAUCACCCACAGAAGAAGCACCGGCUAACUCCGUGCCAGCAGCCGCGGUAAUACGGAGGGUGCGAGCGUUAAUCGGAAUUACUGGGCGUAAAGCGCGCGUAGGCGGUCUGAUAAGCCGGUUGUGAAAGCCCCGGGCUCAACCUGGGAACGGCAUCCGGAACUGUCAGGCUAGAGUGCAGGAGAGGAAGGUAGAAUUCACGGUGUAGCGGUGAAAUGCGUAGAGAUCGGGAGGAAUACCAGUGGCGAAGGCGGCCUUCUGGACUGACACUGACGCUGAGGUGCGAAAGCGUGGGUAGCAAACAGGAUUAGAUACCCCUGUAGUC
This 465-nucleotide ribosomal RNA is filed under the name Vreelandella stevensii. Its description in RNAcentral is "partial 16S ribosomal RNA". It matches the Rfam family "Bacterial small subunit ribosomal RNA", at positions 338 to 795 of the family's 1533-position model. Lineage: Bacteria; Pseudomonadati; Pseudomonadota; Gammaproteobacteria; Oceanospirillales; Halomonadaceae. The record is from RNAcentral.